UUUAACUGAAGAGUUUGAUCAUGGCUCAGAUUGAACGCUGGCGGCAGGCUUAACACAUGCAAGUCGAGCGGGGGGAGGUAGCUUGCUACCUAACCUAGCGGCGGACGGGUGAGUAAUGCUUAGGAAUCUGCCUAUUAGUGGGGGACAACAUUUCGAAAGGGAUGCUAAUACCGC
RNAcentral lists this ribosomal RNA (174 nucleotides) under Acinetobacter sp. ANC 4204. RNAcentral describes it as "partial 16S ribosomal RNA". It matches the Rfam family "Bacterial small subunit ribosomal RNA", at positions 1 to 172 of the family's 1533-position model. The record is from RNAcentral. Lineage: Bacteria; Pseudomonadati; Pseudomonadota; Gammaproteobacteria; Moraxellales; Moraxellaceae.